GUGGCACUUCAGUGCUCGCUGUGGCAGCACAUACACUAAAAUUGGAACGAUACAGAGAUUAGCAUAGCCCCUGUGCAAGGA
RNAcentral lists this small nuclear RNA (81 nucleotides) under Mus pahari (shrew mouse). The record is from RNAcentral. Lineage: Eukaryota; Metazoa; Chordata; Mammalia; Rodentia; Muridae.